AUUGAACGCUGGCGGAAUGCUUUACACAUGCAAGUCGAGCGGCAGCGCGGGGGCAACCCUGGCGGCGAGCGGCGAACGGGUGAGUAAUACAUCGGAACGUGUCCUUCAAGUGGGGGAUAGCUCGGCGAAAGCCGGAUUAAUACCGCAUAAGCUCUGAGGAGGAAAGCGGGGGACUGGUAACGGCCUCGCGCUGUUGGAGCGGCCGAUGUCGGAUUAGCUAGUUGGUGGGGUAAAGGCCCACCAAGGCGACGAUCCGUAGCUGGUCUGAGAGGAUGAUCAGCCACACUGGAACUGAGACACGGUCCAGACUCCUACGGGAGGCAGCAGUGGGGAAUUUUGGACAAUGGGGCAACCCUGAUCCAGCCAUUCCGCGUGAGUGAAGAAGGCCU
This 389-nucleotide ribosomal RNA is filed under the name uncultured bacterium. Its description in RNAcentral is "bacterial SSU rRNA". It matches the Rfam family "Bacterial small subunit ribosomal RNA", at positions 29 to 417 of the family's 1533-position model. The record is from RNAcentral.